CAGGAUGAACGCUAGCGACAGGCCUAACACAUGCAAGUCGAGGGGCAGCACAAGGAGCAAUCUGAGGUGGCGACCGGCGCACGGGUGAGUAACACGUAUGCAACCUGCCUGUAAGCGGGGAAUAACCCGUUGAAAGACGGACUAAUACCGCAUAAUACUAAAUUACUGCAUGGUAAUUUAUUUAAACAUUUAUGGCUUACAGAUGGGCAUGCGCAUGAUUAGCUAGUUGGAGAGGUAACGGCUCCCCAAGGCAACGAUCAUUAGGGGUUCUGAGAGGAAGGUCCCCCCACACUGGUACUGAGACCCGGACCAGACUCCUACGGGAGGCAGCAGUGAGGAAUAUUGGUCAAUGGACGAGAGUCUGAACCAGCCAAGUCGCGUGCAGGAAGAAUGUUCCCUAUGGAUUGUAAACUGCUUUUGCAGGGGAAUAAAGUGCAUCACGUGUGAUGUUUUGUAUGUACUCUGCGAAUAAGGAUCGGCUAACUCCGUGCCAGCCGCGGC
RNAcentral lists this ribosomal RNA (501 nucleotides) under uncultured bacterium. Its description in RNAcentral is "bacterial SSU rRNA". It matches the Rfam family "Bacterial small subunit ribosomal RNA", at positions 25 to 518 of the family's 1533-position model. The record is from RNAcentral.